Molecule: non-coding RNA, 112 nt
Organism: Triticum aestivum (bread wheat)
Lineage: Eukaryota; Viridiplantae; Streptophyta; Magnoliopsida; Poales; Poaceae
Source: Rfam
CAUGUACUCUCUCCGUUCGGAAUUACUCGUCUAAAAAAAUGUAUCUAGAUGUAUUUUAGUUGUAGAUACAUCCAUUUUUGUGACAAUUAAUUCCGAACGGAGGGAGUAGUAU